This 157-nucleotide unclassified non-coding RNA is filed under the name uncultured Hymenoscyphus. RNAcentral describes it as "sequence contains ITS1". Lineage: Eukaryota; Fungi; Ascomycota; Leotiomycetes; Helotiales; Helotiaceae. The record is from RNAcentral.
CAGAGUUCAUGCCCUCACGGGUAGAUCUCCCACCCUUGAAUACAUACCUUUGUUGCUUUGGCGGGCCGCGCUCCGGCGCAUCGGCCCCGGCUGGUUGUGCCCGCCAGAGGACCCAAACUCUUUUGUUUAGUGAUGUCUGAGUACUAUAUAAUAGUUA